RNAcentral lists this ribosomal RNA (467 nucleotides) under uncultured bacterium. RNAcentral describes it as "bacterial SSU rRNA". It matches the Rfam family "Bacterial small subunit ribosomal RNA", at positions 355 to 825 of the family's 1533-position model. The record is from RNAcentral.
UAAGGAAUAUUGGUCAAUGGAGGCAACUCUGAACCAGCCAUGCCGCGUGCAGGAAGAAGGCCCUAUGGGUCGUAAACUGCUUUUGAACAAGAGAAAACCCCGGUACGUGUACUGGGUUGAUAGUAUUGUUAGAAUAAGCAUCGGCUAACUUCGUGCCAGCAGCCGCGGUAAGACGAAGGAUGCAAGCGUUAUCCGGAUUCAUUGGGUUUAAAGGGUGCGUAGGCGGACUGAUAAGUCAGUGGUGAAAUCUCUCGGCUUAACCGAGAAACUGCCAUUGAUACUGUUAGUCUAGAGUACAGAUGAUGUGGGCGGAAUAUGACAUGUAGUGGUGAAAUACUUAGAUAUGUCAUAGAACACCGAUUGCGAAGGCAGCUCACAAAACUGUAACUGACGCUGAGGCACAAAAGUGCGGGGAUCAAACAGGAUUAGAUACCCUCGUAGUCCCUGAGCGGGCUGGCAAGGCGCAU